Molecule: ribosomal RNA, 515 nt
Filed under: uncultured bacterium
Lineage: Bacteria
Description: partial 16S ribosomal RNA
Rfam family: Bacterial small subunit ribosomal RNA
Source: RNAcentral
GAUGAACGCUGGCGGCGUGCCUAAUACAUGCAAGUCGAGCGAAUGGAUUAAGAGCUUGCUCUUAUGAAGUUAGCGGCGGACGGGUGAGUAACACGUGGGUAACCUGCCCAUAAGACUGGGAUAACUCCGGGAAACCGGGGCUAAUACCGGAUAACAUUUUGAACCGCAUGGUUCGAAAUUGAAAGGCGGCUUCGGCUGUCACUUAUGGAUGGACCCGCGUGGCAUUAGCUAGUUGGUGAGGUAACGGCUCACCAAGGCAACGAUGCGUAGCCGACCGGAGAGGGUGAUCGGCCGAGCUGGGACGGAGACACGGCCCAGACUCCUGCGGGAGGCAGCAGUAAGGAAUCUUCCGCAAUUGACGAAAGUCUGACGGAGCAACGCAGCGGGUGUUAUGAAGGCGUUCGGGUCGUAAAACUCUGUUGUUAGGGAAGAGCAAGUGCUAGUUGAAUAAGCUGGCACCUUGACGGUACCUAACCAGAAAGCCACGGCUAACUACGUGCCAGCCGCCGCGGUAA